Non-coding RNA from Schistosoma mattheei, 45 nucleotides. The record is from Rfam. NCBI's taxonomy places the organism in Eukaryota, Metazoa, Platyhelminthes, Trematoda, Strigeidida, Schistosomatidae.
AUCCAGCUGACGAGUGCCACGUAGGACGAAACGCGCGUCCUGGAU